RNAcentral lists this ribosomal RNA (515 nucleotides) under uncultured bacterium. RNAcentral describes it as "partial 16S ribosomal RNA". It matches the Rfam family "Bacterial small subunit ribosomal RNA", at positions 28 to 523 of the family's 1533-position model. The record is from RNAcentral.
GAUGAACGCUGGCGGCGUGCCUAAUACGUGCAAGUCGAGCGAAUGGAUUAAGAGCUUGCUCUUAUGAAGUUAGCGGCGGACGGGUGAGUAACACGUGGGUAACCUGCCCAUAAGACUGGGAUAACUCCGGGAAACCGGGGCUAAUACCGGAUAACAUUUUGAACCGCAUGGUUCGAAAUUGAAAGGCGGCUUCGGCUGUCACUCAUGAAUGGACCCGCGUCGCAUUAGCUAGUUGGUGAGGUAACGGCUCACCAAGGCAACGAUGCGUAGCCGACCUGAGAGGGUGAUCGGCCACACUGGGACUGAGACACGGCCCAGACUCCUACGGGAGGCAGCAGUAGGGAAUCUUCCGCAAUGGACGAAAGUCUGACGGAGCAACGCCGCGUGAGUGAUGAAGGCUUUCGGGUCGUAAAACUCUGUUGUUAGGGAAGAACAAGUGCUAGUUGAAUAAGCUGGCACCUUGACGGUACCUAACCAGAAAGCCACGGCUAACUACGUGCCAGCCGCCGCCGUAA